This 66-nucleotide transfer RNA is filed under the name Dipodomys ordii (Ord's kangaroo rat). It matches the Rfam family "tRNA". From Rfam's summary of the family: Transfer RNA (tRNA) molecules are approximately 80 nucleotides in length. Their secondary structure includes four short double-helical elements and three loops (D, anti-codon, and T loops). The record is from Rfam by way of RNAcentral. Lineage: Eukaryota; Metazoa; Chordata; Mammalia; Rodentia; Heteromyidae.
GGGGAUAUAGCUCAAGUGGUAAAGCAACCAGUCUGGCAACCCUGAGUUCAAAUCCCAGUACUUCCA